RNAcentral lists this long non-coding RNA (326 nucleotides) under Nicotiana tabacum (common tobacco). RNAcentral's name for it is "long non-coding RNA (NTAB_LNC000824)". Lineage: Eukaryota; Viridiplantae; Streptophyta; Magnoliopsida; Solanales; Solanaceae. The record is from RNAcentral.
GAGUUGUACUAAUGCAAGAUGAACACCAUAUAUCCUAUAUAAGCAACGCAUUGAGUCCUAAACAUUUAACAUUCUCAGUAUAUCAGAAUGAAAUGUUGGCCAUUGUGACAACUAUUGAUAAGUGGAGACCUUACAUUAUUGGAUGACACUUUGUAAUCAAAUCAGAUCAUCAACCUCUCAAGUACCUGUUAAAACAAAGAAUAUCCACUCCUAGUCAGCAGAAGUGGGUGGCAAAGCUUAUGGUCUAUGAUUAUAUUAUACUGUAUAAAAAGGGGAUGAAAAAUAUAGCUGCAGAUACCUUAUCUAGGAGUCUAAUAGCUGGGGCU